CGUGGAGACAGGUGGUGCAUGGCUGUCGUCAGCUCGUGUCGUGAGAUGUCGGGUUAAGUCCCGCAACGAGCGCAACCCUCACCUCUUGUUGCCAUCAGGUCAUGCUGGGCACUCUAGAGGAACUGCCCCGGUCAACGGGGAGGAAGGCGGGGAUGACGUCAAGUCAUCAUGCCCCUUACGUCCUGGGCUACACACGUGCUACAAUGGCCGGUACAAAGGGAUGCCACACCGCGAGGUAGAGCUAAACCCAAAAAGCCGGUCUAAGUUCAGAUUGGAGUCUGCAACUCGACUCCAUGAAGGAGGAAUCGCUAGUAAUCGCGUAUCAGCACGACGCGGUGAAUACGUUCCCGGGCCUUGUACACACCGCCCGUCACACCACGAAAGCCUGCUGUACUCGAAGUCGCUGAG
RNAcentral lists this ribosomal RNA (408 nucleotides) under uncultured Methylomirabilota bacterium. RNAcentral describes it as "bacterial SSU rRNA". It matches the Rfam family "Bacterial small subunit ribosomal RNA", at positions 1027 to 1434 of the family's 1533-position model. Lineage: Bacteria; Methylomirabilota (SeqCode). The record is from RNAcentral.